AUAAUUUGGCUCUUAAUUAGAGUCUAGAAUGAAUGGUUGAAUGAGACAUAAGCUUUUUUUUAUUAAAAUUUUAAUUUAACUUUAAAGUGAAAAGGCUUUAAUAGUCUAAAAAGAAGAGAAGACCCCUAGAGUUUAAUUAUUAAUAAGAGAGGUAGUCAUUUAAUUGGGAUAAUGGUGACUAGAUUUAUAUAAUUUAGCUGGGGCGGUUUUUAAGUAUUAUUAACCUUAAAUAAUAUAAACUUAGGAAGAAUUCAGUGAUCCGCUUAAAAGUGAGUGGGAGUAAAAUUACCUUGGGGAUAACAGCGUAAUCUUCCUGGAGAGUUCUUAUCGAUAGGGGGGU
RNAcentral lists this ribosomal RNA (340 nucleotides) under Briarosaccus regalis. RNAcentral describes it as "partial 16S ribosomal RNA". The record is from RNAcentral. Lineage: Eukaryota; Metazoa; Arthropoda; Thecostraca; Peltogastridae.